UUAGGAAUUUUGCACAAUGGACGAAAGUCUGAUGCAGCGACAUCGCGUGAGGGAUUAAGGCCUUCGGGUUGUAAACCUCUUUUUGGGAGCCAUGAAGGCGCCCAGAAUAAGCAACUACUAACUACGUGCCAGCAGUCGCGGUAAUACGUAGGGUGCAAGCGUUAUCCGGAAUUAUUGGGCGUAAAGAGCGCGUAGGUGGUUUGGAAAGUUGCCUGUUAAAGCUUCAAGCUCAACUUGGAAAUCGCAGGCAAAACUUCCAGACUAGAGAAUAGCAGGGGCAAGCGGAAUUCCCGGUGUAGGAGUGAAAUCCGUUGAUAUCGGGAGGAACACCAAUGGCGAAGGCAGCUUGCUAGGUUAUCUCUGACACUGAGGCGCGAAAGCGUGGGGAGCGAACGGG
This 397-nucleotide ribosomal RNA is filed under the name uncultured bacterium. Its description in RNAcentral is "bacterial SSU rRNA". It matches the Rfam family "Bacterial small subunit ribosomal RNA", at positions 355 to 776 of the family's 1533-position model. The record is from RNAcentral.